GGUGGUUCAAGUCCACUCAGGCCUACC
This 27-nucleotide transfer RNA is filed under the name Salmonella sp. Its description in RNAcentral is "partial tRNA-Ile". Lineage: Bacteria; Pseudomonadati; Pseudomonadota; Gammaproteobacteria; Enterobacterales; Enterobacteriaceae. The record is from RNAcentral.